This 369-nucleotide ribosomal RNA is filed under the name Triticum aestivum (bread wheat). RNAcentral's name for it is "partial small subunit ribosomal RNA". The record is from RNAcentral. Lineage: Eukaryota; Viridiplantae; Streptophyta; Magnoliopsida; Poales; Poaceae.
AUGCAUCUGGAUUCCACUGUAUGUGUUCUAUGCAACAAUGAAGACAUUGAGGAUAGGACUCAUCUUCUUUUCACAUGUCCAUUUAGUCAAGGAUUUUGGUGGAACAUUGGUUUUGAAUGGAAUUCGGAUAUGGAAAUCAACAAUAUGAUUAUUGAUGCUAAACAUAGAUAUAAAAUUGACCACUUCAUGGAAGCCAUGAUUCUUGGCUGCUGGAGCAUAGGGAACCAAAGGAAUGGGAUGAUUUUUUAAGGGAUCCCCUGCUCAUAAAAUGAAUGCAAGAACGAAUUUGUCAGAUAUUUCAAAAUGACCAUGCUAAGGGCUAAACCCACUCUAAAAGAGGGCAUGUCCUCUUGGAUAGACAAUAUUUAA